UACGGGGGGGGCAAGCGUUGUUCGGAAUUACUGGGCGUAAAGGGCUCGUAGGCGGCUAACUAAGUCAGACGUGAAAUCCCUCGGCUUAACCGGGGAACUGCGUCUGAUACUGGAUGGCUAGAGUUUGGGAGAGGGAUGCGGAAUUCCAGGUGUAGCGGUGAAAUGCGUAGAUAUCUGGAGGAACACCGGUGGCGAAGGCGGCAUCCUGGACCAACACUGACGCUGAGGAGCGAAAGCCAGGGGAGCAAACGGG
RNAcentral lists this ribosomal RNA (253 nucleotides) under uncultured bacterium. Its description in RNAcentral is "partial 16S ribosomal RNA". It matches the Rfam family "Bacterial small subunit ribosomal RNA", at positions 524 to 776 of the family's 1533-position model. The record is from RNAcentral.